GCGUGCUGAACCCUGCCUUGUUCUUUGGUGUUUUUUUUUUGCCUGGCUGAACCCUACGUGCAGGGGCGGGCCUAGGCCUAAGGUUAGUAGGGCCAUUGCCUUAGUCGUGGCUCAGAAAUUGUAGAAACAACUUUUCAAUUUUGGCCCCAAAAAAUAAGCCCAUUAAGAAGAAAACUAGGGCAAACUCUCAGCCACACUGGCCACUGAGCCACGCACGGACGCGCCCACGCCGCCACACGCCUCGCCUCCGCUCUGCUCCAGCCUUUCGGGUCCGCGUCCGGCGGCCCACCUCCCUUCUCUUGCUCAGCGUCGGCGCAACGGGCCGACGGCGCCUCCUGCUCCGGCGUCCCUCGCGGUCGCGGCCAGUGGCCUACUCCGGCGUCCCUCGUAGUCGCUUGCUGGCAAGCAGGGCACCAGCCGCUAGGGCCGACCGCCCAGACCAGGGGGCAGGGCCCAGACACGCUCGCCCCUCGCCCUUCGGUUGCUGCUGCCGGAGCGAUAGAGCUGGAAGGCCAGACCAGCGGCCUAGUCGCCCAGAUGUGGCUGCCCCUGUCUGACUACCUCUGUCUAGAAACAGGAAUGUUCAGAAGCCUGAAUCCGUGAACGCAGGAAGUGAAGCUCAAACCUGCUCUCGUGAUCCAUCCCAUUCCUUCUCCCUCCUCCGCGAUCGUCUUCGGCGUCGCAUGAGCUUCGACGCAGCACAGAGCUGAGAGCGGCAACGACCACUCAACGGUGGCGGUGAUGUCGGAGCCAUGGAGCUGACCUAGGACGGCGAGGAAUGCCCAUGUCAGGAGCUCCGCCGAGAUGAGAGCAGUGGCACUCAAAGACUGCUCACUGAGGCCACGAUAUUUCUUAGGACCAUUGCUAUUCUUCUUAGGUGCACCUUUGGUGACAGCAAUAGCUGGAUCACAUACAAAAACAAUUGUACUAUGACGUGUCUGAUCAUUUUGAUCAACCAGGCUCAGGCCAUCACUGACAGUGAAAUUAAACUAGUACGCAAA
This is a long non-coding RNA of Sorghum bicolor (sorghum), 1001 nucleotides long. RefSeq lists it as uncharacterized. The transcript has 2 exons. Lineage: Eukaryota; Viridiplantae; Streptophyta; Magnoliopsida; Poales; Poaceae. The record is from RefSeq and is a predicted model, not a curated record.